This 406-nucleotide ribosomal RNA is filed under the name uncultured bacterium. Its description in RNAcentral is "partial 16S ribosomal RNA". It matches the Rfam family "Bacterial small subunit ribosomal RNA", at positions 30 to 526 of the family's 1533-position model. The record is from RNAcentral.
AUUGAACGCUGGCGGCAGGCCUAACACAUGCACGUCGAGCGAGCGGCGGACGGGUGAGUAAUGUCUGGGAAACUGCCUGAUGGAGGGGGAUAACUACUGGAAACGGUAGCUAAUACCGCAUACCAUCAGCUUUGCCCAGAUGGGCUUAGCUAGUAGGUGGGGUAACGGCUCACCUAGGCGACGAUCCCUAGCUGGUCUGAGAGGAUGACCAGCAACACGUGAAUUGAGACCCGGUCCAGACUCCUACGGGAGGCCGCAGUUGGGAAUAUUGCACAAUGUGCUCAAUCCUGAUGCAGCAAUGCCGCGUGUGUGAAGAAGGCCUUCGGGUUGUAAAGCACUUUCAGCGGGGAGGCGUUACCCGCAGAAGAAGCACCGGCUAACUCCGUGCCAGCAGCCGCGGUAAUAC